CGUAGGGUGCGAGCGUUAAUCGGAAUUACUGGGCGUAAAGCGUGCGCAGGCGGUUUAGUAAGACAGGCGUGAAAUCCCCGGGCCCAACCUGGGAACUGCGCUUGUGACUGCUAAGCUAGAGUACGGCAGAGGGGGGUGGAAUUCCACGUGUAGCAGUGAAAUGCGUAGAGAUGUGGAGGAACACCAAUGGCGAAGGCAGCCCCCUGGGUCGAUACUGACGCUCAUGCACGAAAGCGUGGGUAGCAAACAGGAUUAGAUACCCUGGUAGUCCACGCCCUAAACGAUGUCAACUAGGUGUUGGGAGGGUAAAACCUUUUAGUACCGGAGCUAACGCGUGAAGUUGACCGCCUGGGGAGUACGGCCGCAAGGUUA
RNAcentral lists this ribosomal RNA (372 nucleotides) under uncultured organism. RNAcentral describes it as "bacterial SSU rRNA". It matches the Rfam family "Bacterial small subunit ribosomal RNA", at positions 526 to 896 of the family's 1533-position model. The record is from RNAcentral.